AUACGUAGGUGGCAAGCGUUAUCCGGAAUUAUUGGGCGUAAAGAGGGAGCAGGCGGCAGCAAGGGUCUGUGGUGAAAGCCUGAAGCUUAACUUCAGUAAGCCAUAGAAACCAGGCAGCUAGAGUGCAGGAGAGGAUCGUGGAAUUCCAUGUGUAGCGGUGAAAUGCGUAGAGAUAUGGAGGAACACCAGUGGCGCAGGCGACGAUCUGGCCUGCAACGUACGCUCAGUCCCGAAAGCGUGGGGAGCAAAUAGGAUUAGAUACCCUAGUAGUCCACGCCGUAAACGAUGAGUACUAAGUGUUGGAUGUCAAAGUUCAGUGCUGCAGUUAACGCAAUAAGUACUCCGCCUGAGUAGUACGUUCGCAAGAAUGAAACUCAAAUGAAUUGACGGGG
Molecule: ribosomal RNA, 392 nt
Filed under: uncultured bacterium
Lineage: Bacteria
Description: partial 16S ribosomal RNA
Rfam family: Bacterial small subunit ribosomal RNA
Source: RNAcentral